UACGGAGGGUGCAAGCGUUGGUCGGAAUUACUGGGCGUAAAGCGCGCGUAGGCGGACCUGCAAGUCGGGGGUGAAAGCCCGAGGCUCAACCUCGGAACUGCCUUCGAUACUGCGGGUCUCGAGUCCGGGAGAGGUGAGUGGAAUUCCUAGUGUAGAGGUGAAAUUCGUAGAUAUUAGGAAGAACACCAGUGGCGAAGGCGGCUCACUGGCCCGGUACUGACGCUGAGGUGCGAAAGCGUGGGGAGCAAACAGG
RNAcentral lists this ribosomal RNA (253 nucleotides) under uncultured bacterium. RNAcentral's name for it is "partial 16S ribosomal RNA". It matches the Rfam family "Bacterial small subunit ribosomal RNA", at positions 524 to 776 of the family's 1533-position model. The record is from RNAcentral.